CAGUCGCCGCGGUAAUACGAAGGGUGCAAGCGUUAAUCGGAAUUACCGGGCGUAAAGCGUGCGUAGGCGGUGAGUUAAGUCUGCUGUGAAAUCCCCGGGCUCAACCUGGGAAUGGCAGUGGAUACUGGCUCGCUAGAGUGUGUCAGAGGAUGGUGGAAUUCCCGGUGUAGCGGUGAAAUGCGUAGAGAUCGGGAGGAACAUCAGUGGUGAAGGCGGCCAUCUGGGACAACACUGACGCUGAGGCACGAAAGCGUGGGGAGCAAACAGGAUUAGAUACCCCCGUAGUCCCUGUCUCUUAUAA
RNAcentral lists this ribosomal RNA (301 nucleotides) under uncultured bacterium. RNAcentral's name for it is "partial 16S ribosomal RNA". It matches the Rfam family "Bacterial small subunit ribosomal RNA", at positions 509 to 809 of the family's 1533-position model. The record is from RNAcentral.